CUACGGAGGGUCCAAGCGUUAUCCGGAAUCAUUGGGUUUAAAGGGUCCGCAGGCGGUCAAUUAAGUCAGAGGUGAAAGCCCAUCGCUCAACGAUGGAACUGCCUUUGAUACUGGUUGACUUGAGUUAUACGGAAGUAGAUAGAAUAAGUAGUGUAGCUGUGAAAUGCAUAGAUAUUACUUAGAAUACCGAUUGCGAAGGCAGUCUACUACGUAUAUACUGACGCUGAGGGACGAAAGCGUGGGGAGCGAACAGGAUUAGAAACCCUUGUAGUCC
Molecule: ribosomal RNA, 274 nt
Filed under: uncultured bacterium
Lineage: Bacteria
Description: partial 16S ribosomal RNA
Rfam family: Bacterial small subunit ribosomal RNA
Source: RNAcentral